Molecule: transfer RNA, 65 nt
Filed under: Pericapritermes nitobei
Lineage: Eukaryota; Metazoa; Arthropoda; Insecta; Blattodea; Termitidae
Description: tRNA-Arg
Source: RNAcentral
AAGUAAGAAGCAAAAAUUGCAAUCAGUUUCGACCUGAUCCUUGAUGAGUCAGUCAUCCUUGCUUU